GUGGGGAAUAUUGGACAAUGGGCGAAAGCCUGAUCCAGCCAUGCCGCGUGUGUGAAGAAGGUCUUCGGAUUGUAAAGCACUUUAAGUUGGGAGGAAGGGCAGUAAGUUAAUACCUUGCUGUUUUGACGUUACCGACAGAAUAAGCACCGGCUAACUUCGUGCCAGCAGCCGCGGUAAUACGAAGGGUGCAAGCGUUAAUCGGAAUUACUGGGCGUAAAGCGCGCGUAGGUGGUUUUGUAAGUUGGAGGUGAAAUCCCCGGGCUCAACCUGGGAACUGCCUCCAAAACUGCAUGACUAGAGUACGGUAGAGGGUAGUUGAAUUUCCUGUGUAGCGGUGAAAUGCGUAGAUAUAGGAAGGAACACCAGUGGCGAAGGCGACUACCUGGACUGAUACUGACACUGAGGUGCGAAAGCGUGGGGAGCAAACAGGAUUAGAUACCCUAGUAGUCC
Molecule: ribosomal RNA, 450 nt
Filed under: uncultured bacterium
Lineage: Bacteria
Description: partial 16S ribosomal RNA
Rfam family: Bacterial small subunit ribosomal RNA
Source: RNAcentral